UACACAUGCAGUCGAACGGGAUCCAUCAGGCUUUGCUUGGUGGUGAGAGUGGCGAACGGGUGAGUAAUGCGUGACCGACCUGCCCCAUACACCGGAAUAGCUCCUGGAAACGGGUGGUAAUGCCGGAUGCUCCGACUCCUCGCAUGGGGUGUCGGGAAAGAUUUCAUCGGUAUGGGAUGGGGUCGCGUCCUAUCAGGUAGUCGGCGGGGUAACGGCCCACCGAGCCUACGACGGGUAGCCGGCCUGAGAGGGCGACCGGCCACAUUGGGACUGAGAUACGGCCCAAACUCCUACGGGAGGCAGCAGUGGGGAAUAUUGCACAAUGGGCGCAAGCCUGAUGCAGCGACGCCGCGUGCGGGAUGACGGCCUUCGGGUUGUAAACCGCUUUUGAUCGGGAGCAAGCCUUCGGGUGAGUGUACCUUUCGAAUAAGCACCGGCUAACUACGUGCCAGCAGCCGCGGUAAUACGUAGGGUGCAAGCGUUAUCCGGAAUUAUUGGGCGUAAAGGGCUCGUAGGCGGUUCGUCGCGUCCGGUGUGAAAGUCCAUCGCUUAACGGUGGAUCUGCGCCGGGUACGGGCGGGCUGGAGUGCGGUAGGGGAGACUGGAAUUCCCGGUGUAACGGUGGAAUGUGUAGAUAUCGGGAAGAACACCAAUGGCGAAGGCAGGUCUCUGGGCCGUUACUGACGCUGAGGAGCGAAAGCGUGGGGAGCGAACAGGAUUAGAUACCCUGGUAGUCCACGCCGUAAACGGUGGAUGCUGGAUGUGGGGCCCGUUCCACGGGUUCCGUGUCGGAGCUAACGCGUUAAGCAUCCCGCCUGGGGAGUACGGCCGCAAGGCUAAAACUCAAAGAAAUUGACGGGGGCCCGCACAAGCGGCGGAGCAUGCGGAUUAAUUCGAUGCAACGCGAAGAACCUUACCUGGGCUUGACAUGUUCCCGACAGCCGUAGAGAUAUGGCCUCCCUUCGGGGCGGGUUCACAGGUGGUGCAUGGUCGUCGUCAGCUCGUGUCGUGAGAUGUUGGGUUAAGUCCCGCAACGAGCGCAACCCUCGCCCUGUGUUGCCAGCACGUCAUGGUGGGAACUCACGGGGGACCGCCGGGGUCAACUCGGAGGAAGGUGGGGAUGACGUCAGAUCAUCAUGCCCCUUACGUCCAGGGCUUCACGCAUGCUACAAUGGCCGGUACAACGGGAUGCGACACGGCGACGUGGAGCGGAUCCCUGAAAACCGGUCUCAGUUCGGAUUGGAGUCUGCAACCCGACUCCAUGAAGGCGGAGUCGCUAGUAAUCGCGGAUCAGCAACGCCGCGGUGAAUGCGUUCCCGGGCCUUGUACACACCGCCCGUCAAGUCAUGAAAGUGGGUAGCACCCGAAGCCGGUGGCCUAACCCUUUGUGGAUGGAGCCGUCUAAGGGGGACUCGG
This 1416-nucleotide ribosomal RNA is filed under the name Bifidobacterium pseudocatenulatum. RNAcentral describes it as "bacterial SSU rRNA". It matches the Rfam family "Bacterial small subunit ribosomal RNA". Lineage: Bacteria; Bacillati; Actinomycetota; Actinomycetes; Bifidobacteriales; Bifidobacteriaceae. The record is from RNAcentral.